RNAcentral lists this long non-coding RNA (881 nucleotides) under Setaria viridis. Its description in RNAcentral is "long non-coding RNA (SVIR_LNC009015)". The record is from RNAcentral. Lineage: Eukaryota; Viridiplantae; Streptophyta; Magnoliopsida; Poales; Poaceae.
AAAACUCUCUAACAGUUGCCUACCUUCUGAGCCAAUGAUCAUAAAAAUAUUCACAUAAUGUGAGGUUUUCAAGGAUGAGAAGAUAUAGAAUGGUGGACAUAUGCAAUGGCAAAUAAAAUAGUGACUCUGAGGCACAAGCGAUGUCCUCGUCGUCGGAUUGCACAUGGUUGGAAUGAAAAUCUGUUUCUUACACAAGGUCAUCUUUCUUUGAACUUUUCUUGAUCUUCGUGAUAGUAAAAACUCCUUUUUUAUUUCUUUCUUUCUUUCCCUAUUCUUUAUUUUUCUUUUUCUCAAUACUUUUUCACUUUCUUUCCUUCUUUCUUUCUUUAUUUUAUUUUUCAUCUCUUCUCCGAACCUCCUGUGAACACCUCCUCAUAAAAAUUAGCUUUAGAUCCUUCCAGAGGCCUUCCAAGAUUUUUCUGCACGUGAACUGUGGCAAUGAGACCCUAGGCCGAUUGACCUGGAGGGGACCAAGCCGAUCGGCCUAGCCCCUCUUUUCCUCCCCUCAGCCUUAUCUUUCUACUUUAUCUUUCUGGUGUAACUUCCUUAUCUUAUAUCUUUCCAAAUAUUUCAAAAAGCUCAACCAGAAAUGAAAUAGAUCUUCAUAAAUUGGGUUGUAUCCAAGGAAUAGGUAAUAAAAUUGAGAAAUUUAUGGUUUGGGUUUAGGAAUCCAGCAGAGCUUAUGAUUGUUCUAAUGAAGAACUUUCAUUACUGAAUAUUGAUGAGGCUAGCAUUCAAAGAUAGUAAAAAGGAUAUGAUCAAUGCUGAGAAUUAAAACAAACAAAGAGAGAGUGAUCCUAACUCAAUUCAAAGCAUCAACUCCGCUUGUGGUGGUGAAAUUAAAUUUUCUAUAGGCACCGGAUAGGAUAGGCAAAACUCUC